Molecule: long non-coding RNA, 684 nt
Organism: Amaranthus tricolor (Joseph's coat)
Lineage: Eukaryota; Viridiplantae; Streptophyta; Magnoliopsida; Caryophyllales; Amaranthaceae
Exons: 3
Source: RefSeq, a predicted model, not a curated record
ACUAAUUCCUAAAAAGCCUCAAAAAAAUUUCCUAAUAAUAGUAUUUAGUGUUAAUUAUAGAAACUCAAGGGGAGGAAGCUAAUAUUGUGGCUAAAAAAUUCUACGACAAAGGAAUUUAAUUAAUAGUGAAAUUAUUAAAGGAGACGAUAUCAUCGAAGAACCCUUCUAGUUGAUAGCUGGAUUCGUUACCUUGAAGCGACAUCGUCUUCGAUGACAGAUCGAAUCCGGUCGGGAACAAUUGGGUUAGCAAUGUUGAUAAGGGUGCCAAGGAUGUCCUUUUGAGCUGAGCCUGUGGGAGUUUAUAGUUUGUAUUAGGAAUUUGUUAAAUGUGUAGUAGUUCUGAUUAUGUUAGUUAUAUUGGACUCGAAGUGAAUUGUAUGAUUACUUUAUGUUUAGGUUAGAUGUUUGGUUUGAGAUUUAGCUGAGUUAGUUACAUUAAAGAGCUGGUGAUUCCUUUGCUUAGGUUUUGGAGAUGCGAUUUAAGUUUCUUGUAAAAUGAACCCCGUGACGACCCUGUUUACCUAGUCAACGGUAAGCUGGGUUGUUACAGUUGGUAUCAGAGCAAGGUUCGUGAAUUAAGGACCUUUGGAUGGGUAAUAAGGAUAUAGGACAAGUGUGAGUUAGAGAAAGACACUAGGUGUGAAGUUAGAGAUUGGGUAGACGCUAGUUAGUGGAGUAUCUUUG